AACUCCUUGUACAAAAAAUAAAGGGCACUGAAGCCCCACACGUACGGGCCGGAAGAGCAGUUGACGUAUGUACGUGUGGACGCAGCACUGAUAUACGGUACUCUUAGGCGGCCAUGCUUGCAAGGAAAGGACUGCGAAAAGUUUCUUCUCCCUGGUCCUAUAGCUGCGAUGCAAGAUAAACAGUACACGUCUCUCUCUGGCAGGGCUUGCAAAAGACGAUGGUACUGAGCGAGUCCUCAAAUGAUGAGCCGUAUACUAGGUACUAGCUAGCUACACAGGAGGAGGCAUACACACAGGUGAUGCUCUUGUACCUAACCUAGAGGCUUUUGAGGAGAACGGCGAGCUGCUCUUUUUAAGUCCAGGUCGUUGAAGCUGACUGACCCAGCAGGACCGAGCGAUCGAGGCUCCUGAUGGCCGAUUUGUCCUUGCAGUUGCAGUUAGCCGGUUGCUCACUCCUCUCGUCGAUCGGUCGGUCUUGGGUCCUCCAUGCAUGUACUGGCACCCCCUGUUCAACUCGACCGGGGAGUGGUUGUUGUGUA
RNAcentral lists this long non-coding RNA (539 nucleotides) under Sorghum bicolor (sorghum). RNAcentral describes it as "long non-coding RNA (SBIC_LNC001726)". Lineage: Eukaryota; Viridiplantae; Streptophyta; Magnoliopsida; Poales; Poaceae. The record is from RNAcentral.